RNAcentral lists this ribosomal RNA (1440 nucleotides) under human gut metagenome. RNAcentral describes it as "bacterial LSU rRNA". It matches the Rfam family "Bacterial large subunit ribosomal RNA", at positions 525 to 1996 of the family's 2925-position model. The record is from RNAcentral.
CCCGGGAGGGGAGUGAAAGAGAACCUGAAACCCUGUGUUUACAAGCUGUGGAAGAACUUUAAAGUUCAACCGCGUACUUUUUGUAGAACGGUCCGGCGAGUUACUCUUACUGGCAAGGUUAAGGACUAAAGGUCUGGAGCCGAAGGGAAACCAAGUCUUAAUAGGGCGUUAUAGUCAGUGUGAGUAGACCCGAAACCGGGUGACCUACCCAUGUCCAGGAUGAAGUUGCCGUAAAAGGCAAUGGAGGUCCGAACACACAUCCGUUGAAAAGGGUGGUGAUGAGGUGUGGGUAGCGGAGAAAUUCCAAUCGAACCCGGAGAUAGCUGGUUCUCCUCGAAAUAGCUUUAGGGCUAGCCUCAUAUUAGUCUUGCGGAGGUAGAGCACUGAAUAUCCUAGGGGGCGUCAAAGCUUACCGAAGAUUAUCAAACUCCGAAUGCCGUAAAGAUGAUGUAUGGGAGUCAGACUGCACGAGAUAAGUUGGGUAGUCAAAAGGGAAAGAGCCCAGACCUACAGCUAAGGUCCCAAAGUACGUGUUAAGUGGAAAAGGAUGUGGGAUUUCGAAGACAACUAGGAUGUUGGCUCAGAAGCAGCCAUACAUUCAAAGAGUGCGUAAUAGCUCACUAGUCGAGAGGUCCUGCGCCGAAAAUGUCCGGGGCUGAAACACGACACCGAAGCUUAGGAAUCGAAAGAUUGGUAGAGGAGCAUUGAAUACGGAACGAAGCAGUACCGGAAGGAGCUGUGGACUGUAUUGAAGAGAGAAUGCCGGAAUGAGUAGCGAGAUUUAAGUGAGAAUCUUAAAGGCCGAAUAUCUAAGGUUUCCAGGGUAAAGCUGAUCUUCCCUGGGUAAGUCGGGGCCUAAGGCGAGGACGAAAGUCGUAGUCGAUGGAUAACAGGUUGAAAUUCCUGUACCGCAUAUAUUCAGAAAUGUGGGGACACAGAUGGAGAGUACAGCCCGGGAAUGGAUAGACCGGGGCAAGCGAGGUAGGAGAAUGGCAGGCAAAUCCACCAUUCAAUCUGAAGACGUGACGCGUACCGAACAAGAGUAGGGAAGUGUAUGAGCCAGCUGUCGAGAAAAGCCGCUAUUGUGAUAUAUGUGCCCGUACCGUAAACCGACACAGGUGGAUGAGGAGAGAAUCCUAAGGCCGGCGGGAGAAGUGUUGUUAAGGAACUCGGCAAAAUGACUCCGUAACUUCGGGAGAAGGAGUGCCACAGAGAUGUGGCCGCAGAGAAAUGGCCCAAGCAACUGUUUAGCAAAAACACAGGUCUAUGCAAAACCGAAAGGUGAGGUAUAUGGGCUGACGCCUGCCCGGUGCUGGAAGGUUAAGAGGAGAGGUUAGCGCAAGCGAAGCUUUGAAUUUAAGCCCCAGUAAACGGCGGCCGUAACAAUAACGGUCCUAAGGUAGCGAAAUUCCUUGUCGGGUAAGUUCCGACCCGCACGAA